AGGAAGACAGAUCUUACAACUGUAGAGCAAGUGAAGUUUAGGAUUGGACCUUUUAUAGCUGCAAUAUGUUUUUGAAGCAAUGAACAAGAAAAAUCCGUCCAGAGCUAAAUGUUGACAACCUCGAUGCACCGGACCUCGACGAACAAUGACGACCUCAAAUCGAACUCAGUUCUGUCGCUGAAUUGUAGCUGGCGUUAAUGGAGUUUUUUUAAGGAGAGUUACUGUGAGGAAGAUGAAGGGGAUAUCUAGGCCGUUGUUUGGGGUGUAACGGCGAGCUCGCCAUUGGCGAGGAGAAGAGGAGUCGAGGGGUCGUUUUGGUGGGGGAGGAAGACGUGAUCUUAGGGGGGAGGGGGUGGUUUCCUCUGUAUUGUUGCGGC
This 377-nucleotide long non-coding RNA is filed under the name Nicotiana benthamiana. RNAcentral describes it as "long non-coding RNA (NBEN_LNC036143)". The record is from RNAcentral. Lineage: Eukaryota; Viridiplantae; Streptophyta; Magnoliopsida; Solanales; Solanaceae.